CCAAUAGCGUAUAUUAAAGUUGCUGCAGUUAAAAAGCUCGUAGUUGAAUUUCGGGACCAAUAUGUUGGUCGUGCCUUGGUACGUACUGGCAUCGUUGGUUUCUCCUUUCUGAAGAACCAUGAUGUCAUUUAUUUGGUGUCGUGGGGAAUCAGGACUGUUACUUUGAAAAAAUUAGAGUGUUUAAAGCAGGCUCACGCUUGAAUACAUUAGCAUGGAAUAAUGAAAUAGGACGUUUGAUUCUAUUUUGUUGGUUUCUAGGAUCGACGUAAUGAUUAAUAGGGAUAGUUGGGGGCAUUAGUAUUCAAUUGUCAGAGGUGAAAUUCUUGGAUUUAUUGAAGACUAACUACUGCGAAAGCAUUUGCCAAGGAUGUUUUCAUUAAUCAAGAACGAGAGUUAGGGGAUCGAAGACGAUCAGAUACCGUCGUAGUCUUAACCAUAAACUAUGCCGACUAGGGAUCGGAUGAUGUUAAUUUUUUAAUGACUCAUUCGGCGCCUUACG
Molecule: ribosomal RNA, 499 nt
Filed under: uncultured Glomeromycotina
Lineage: Eukaryota; Fungi; Glomeromycota
Description: partial small subunit ribosomal RNA
Rfam family: Eukaryotic small subunit ribosomal RNA
Source: RNAcentral